This 301-nucleotide ribosomal RNA is filed under the name uncultured bacterium. RNAcentral describes it as "bacterial SSU rRNA". It matches the Rfam family "Bacterial small subunit ribosomal RNA", at positions 775 to 1067 of the family's 1533-position model. The record is from RNAcentral.
GGAUUAGAUACCCUGGUAGUCCACGCCGUAAACGAUGUGCGCUAGCCGUCGGGCAGCAUGCUGUUCGGUGGCGCAGCUAACGCAUUAAGCGCACCGCCUGGGGAGUACGGCCGCAAGGUUAAAACUCAAAGGAAUUGACGGGGGCCCGCACAAGCGGUGGAGCAUGUGGUUUAAUUCGAAACAACGCGAAGAACCUUACCCAGGUUUGACAUACAUGGAUGCAAUUUGGGGAUAACCCGAAACGCUGCUCUUCGGAGUGAAACAUGUACAGGUGUUGCAUGGCUGUCGUCAGCUCGUGCCG